This 492-nucleotide ribosomal RNA is filed under the name uncultured bacterium. Its description in RNAcentral is "partial 16S ribosomal RNA". It matches the Rfam family "Bacterial small subunit ribosomal RNA", at positions 29 to 507 of the family's 1533-position model. The record is from RNAcentral.
AGUGAACGCUGGCGGUAGGCCUAACACAUGCAAGUCGAACGGCAGCACAGUAAGAUCUUGCUCUUACGGGUGGCGAGUGGCGGACGGGUGAGGAAUACAUCGGAAUCUACUUUUUCGUGGGGGAUAACGUAGGGAAACUUACGCUAAUACCGCAUACGACCUACGGGUGAAAGCAGGGGAUCUUCGGACCUUUCGCGAUUGAAUGAGCCGAUGUCGGAUUAGCUAGUUGGCGGGGUAAAGGCCCACCAAGGCAAGGAUCCGUAGCUGGUCUGAGAGGAUGAUCAGCCACACUGGAACUGAGACACGGUCCAGACUCCUACGGGAGGCAGCAGUGGGGAAUAUUGGACAAUGGGCGAAAGCCUGACCGAGCCAUGCCGCGUGAGUGAAGAAGGCCUUCGGGUUGUAAAGCCCUUUUGUUGGGAAAGAAAAGAAGCAGGUUAAUACAUGGCCGUUCUGACGGUACCCAAAGAAAAAGCACCGGCUAACUACGUG